RNAcentral lists this non-coding RNA (36 nucleotides) under unclassified sequences. Its description in RNAcentral is "DUF805b RNA". It matches the Rfam family "DUF805b RNA". Rfam says of the family: Bacteroidetes, Chlorobi (1 example), Proteobacteria. The record is from RNAcentral.
UAGGAGGAAGCCGAAAAUCCAGUAAGAGAGUAGGCG